RNAcentral lists this ribosomal RNA (22 nucleotides) under Dendrobium moniliforme. Its description in RNAcentral is "partial 18S ribosomal RNA". Lineage: Eukaryota; Viridiplantae; Streptophyta; Magnoliopsida; Asparagales; Orchidaceae. The record is from RNAcentral.
GUGUGACUGCGGAAGGAUCAUG